RNAcentral lists this ribosomal RNA (238 nucleotides) under uncultured bacterium. Its description in RNAcentral is "partial 16S ribosomal RNA". It matches the Rfam family "Bacterial small subunit ribosomal RNA", at positions 96 to 334 of the family's 1533-position model. The record is from RNAcentral.
CGGAGGACGGGUGAGUAACGCGUGGGUGACCUGCCCCAUACCGGGGGAUAACAGCUGGAAACGGCUGCUAAUACCGCAUAAGCGCACAGAGCUGCAUGGCUCGGUGUGAAAAACUCCGGUGGUAUGGGAUGGGCCCGCGUCUGAUUAGGCAGUUGGCGGGGUAACGGCCCACCAAACCGACGAUCAGUAGCCGGCCUGAGAGGGCGACCGGCCACAUUGGGACUGAGACACGGCCCAA